AUUGAACGCUGGCGGCAGGCCUAACACAUGCAAGUCGAGCGGAUGAAGGGAGCUUGCUCCUGGAUUCAGCGGCGGACGGGUGAGUAAUGCCUAGGAAUCUGCCUGGUAGUGGGGGAUAACGUCCGGAAACGGGCGCUAAUACCGCAUACGUCCUGAGGGAGAAAGUGGGGGAUCUUCGGACCUCACGCUAUCAGAUGAGCCUAGGUCGGAUUAGCUAGUUGGUGGGGUAAAGGCCUACCAAGGCGACGAUCCGUAACUGGUCUGAGAGGAUGAUCAGUCACACUGGAACUGAGACACGGUCCAGACUCCUACGGGAGGCAGCAGUGGGGAAUAUUGGACAAUGGGCGAAAGCCUUAUCCAGCCAUGCCGCGUGUGUGAAGAAGGUCUUCGGAUUGUAAAGCACUUUAAGUUGUGAGGAAGGGCAGUAAGUUAAUACCUUGCUGUUUUGACGUUACCAACAGAAUAAGCACCGGCUAACUUCGUG
RNAcentral lists this ribosomal RNA (484 nucleotides) under uncultured bacterium. RNAcentral's name for it is "partial 16S ribosomal RNA". It matches the Rfam family "Bacterial small subunit ribosomal RNA", at positions 30 to 507 of the family's 1533-position model. The record is from RNAcentral.